RNAcentral lists this ribosomal RNA (253 nucleotides) under uncultured bacterium. RNAcentral describes it as "partial 16S ribosomal RNA". It matches the Rfam family "Bacterial small subunit ribosomal RNA", at positions 524 to 776 of the family's 1533-position model. The record is from RNAcentral.
UACGUAGGGUGCAAGCGUUAUUCGGAAUUACUGGGCGUAAAGCGUGCGCAGGCGGUUUUGUAAGACUGUCGUGAAAUCCCCGGGCUCAACCUGGGAAUGGCGAUGGUGACUGCAAGGCUAGAGUUUGGCAGAGGGGGGUAGAAUUCCACGUGUAGCAGUGAAAUGCGUAGAUAUGUGGAGGAACACCGAUGGCGAAGGCAGCCCCCUGGGUCAAAACUGACGCUCAUGCACGAAAGCGUGGGGAGCAAACAGG